GGACUCAGCAUUUCCGAGAUACGAGAUAUUCAAACUUUAUUUUUUCCUCCGUUUGAAACGUACCAAGAAGACAGUAGCACAAAGAGAACACACAGAUACUUAAAAGCAAGGCAGGAUAAGCAAGCGAUAUCCCCAGAAAACGACACAAAUUGAGCCUAACUCGGUAAGGCGAUGGCUGCUGCGCCAUGGCUAACUCGGAACAAAAGAAAGCGACAUAAGACGAACAACAUAACAAAACACAACUGUAAUACGUGAUACAUCACAGACU
RNAcentral lists this unclassified non-coding RNA (268 nucleotides) under Hevea brasiliensis (rubber tree). The record is from RNAcentral. Lineage: Eukaryota; Viridiplantae; Streptophyta; Magnoliopsida; Malpighiales; Euphorbiaceae.